This 253-nucleotide ribosomal RNA is filed under the name uncultured bacterium. RNAcentral describes it as "partial 16S ribosomal RNA". It matches the Rfam family "Bacterial small subunit ribosomal RNA", at positions 524 to 776 of the family's 1533-position model. The record is from RNAcentral.
UACGAAGGGGGCUAGCGUUGCUCGGAAUCACUGGGCGUAAAGGGUGCGUAGGCGGGUCUUUAAGUCAGGGGUGAAAUCCUGGAGCUCAACUCCAGAACUGCCUUUGAUACUGAGGAUCCUGAGUUCGGGAGAGGUGAGUGGAACUGCGAGUGUAGAGGUGAAAUUCGUAGAUAUUCGCAAGAACACCAGUGGCGAAGGCGGCUCACUGGCCCGAUACUGACGCUGAGGCGCGAAAGCGUGGGGAGCAAACAGG